Molecule: ribosomal RNA, 215 nt
Filed under: uncultured bacterium
Lineage: Bacteria
Description: partial 16S ribosomal RNA
Rfam family: Bacterial small subunit ribosomal RNA
Source: RNAcentral
UAAUGGGCGAAAGCCUGAUGCAGCGACGCCGCGUGAGGGAUGACGGCCUUCGGGUUGUAAACCUCUUUCAGUAGGGAACAAGGCCAGUGUUUAGCUGGUUGAGGGUACUUGCAGAAGAAGCGCCGACUAACUACGUGCCAGCAGCCGCGGUAAUACGUAGGGCGCAAGCGUUAUCCGGAAUUAUUGGGCGUAAAGAGCUCGUAGGCGGUUUGUCG